UCCGGAAGUCAGGGCAGCGGCGCUUCUGGUCCCCCAGACUUGGGGCUCUCGGGCUUCUGAGCGCUUCGGGUUCCGCGCUGCCGGGAGGGCUUGAGGGCGCCUUAGAGCCCGACGCCGUUUUUUCAGGAAAGGGCGCUGCGAUCGCCCCCGUCCCGAGCCUCAGCCCCUCUGCUGCAGACCCUCGGGAUCCUCGAUGGAAAGAUUCUGGAGCUUUGCCGGGAGGGGUGUGUGAGUGGAGACCCGUGAAGUAACAGUUUUUGUGUUACGAUGAUUUCUGUUUUCCUC
Mandrillus leucophaeus (drill) is the source of this 285-nucleotide long non-coding RNA. RefSeq lists it as uncharacterized. The record is from RefSeq and is a predicted model, not a curated record. The transcript has 2 exons. Lineage: Eukaryota; Metazoa; Chordata; Mammalia; Primates; Cercopithecidae.